Megalobrama amblycephala (Wuchang bream) is the source of this 525-nucleotide long non-coding RNA. RefSeq lists it as uncharacterized. The transcript is spliced from 4 exons. The record is from RefSeq and is a predicted model, not a curated record. NCBI's taxonomy places the organism in Eukaryota, Metazoa, Chordata, Actinopteri, Cypriniformes, Xenocyprididae.
AUAAGUGAAGGAUUUAACGUGGAGCGUUUGCUUUGCUGCAUCAGGUACGUUCACAGUGCUCCUGUGAUGUGUUUUGCGGUUGACCGAGUGAAAUGUUGUCUGUUCUCAUCGCAUUACUUUCUACGGUAUGAAUUUUCUUCAAGGACGUUGUCAAGAAUUUGAUUUGAUGUUGACAGAGAUGAAGGUUUGACCGAUUUCACGUCAAGCACAGGAGCCCUACCACAAAUGCUGGAGAGUGCCGUCAAAUCCAGCAGUGAAGAUGAACAUCUAAGGGGACUCCCACAAUGGCUUGAGUACUAAUGCUGCUCGGAUAUGCUGUGUGUAUGGAAAGACUGAGGAGUUGAAAGCUGAUUCUACCCUGGAAAGGAGUAAUUUUCUCUUUUAGAGGGGAUGGAAGACCAAGCAGAUACUAUAUUAAAAAGUGCUACACAAUGAUGGUUGUUCUUGCAUAUCUUCUGCCACCGUUGCCUGGAAGUCGAUGCAAUGUUAAAUCUGAAAUUUCAUUUCUUUCAAUUUAAUUUUGUA